AGAGUUUGAUCCUGGCUCAGGACGAACGCUAGCGGCGGGCUUAACACAUGCAAGUCGAUCGAGAAUCCCAUUCUUCGGAAAGGGAGGAAAGAGGCGAACGGGUGAGUAACGCGUAGGCAAUCUGCCCUUCAGUGGGGAACAACAUUCCGAAAGGAGUGCUAAUACCGCAUGAUGUCAUCAGGUCUCCUGGCCAGAUGACCAAAGGCUUCGGCCGCUGAAGGAUGAGCCUGCGUCCCAUUAGCUUGUUGGUAAGGUAACGGCUUACCAAGGCAACGAUGGGUAGCUGGUCUGAGAGGAUGAUCAGCCACACUGGGACUGAGAUACGGCCCAGACUCCUACGGGAGGCAGCAGUGAGGAAUAUUGCACAAUGGACGAAAGUCUGAUGCAGCCACGCCGCGUGUGGGAUGAAGCUCUUGCGAGUGUAAACCACCGUUAAUAGGGACGAAUGCUCUGGUUUUGCCAGAGAGAGACGGUACCUGUAGCGAAAGCUCCGGCUAACUCCGUGCCAGCAGCCGCGGUAAUACGGGGGGAGCAAGCGUUGUCCGGAAUCACUGGGCGUAAAGAGCGUGUAGGCGGAUGUGAAAGUCUGGGGUGAAAUGUCAGGGCUCAACUCUGAACCUGCCUUGGAAACUUCAUAUCUUGAGUGCGGUAGGGGGAAUCGGAAUUCCAGGUGUAGCGGUGGAAUGCGUAGAUAUCUGGAAGAACACCGGUGGCGAAGGCGGAUUCCUGGCCCGUAACUGACGCUGAGACGCGAAAGCGUGGGUAGCAAACAGGAUUAGAUACCCUGGUAGUCCACGCCCUAAACGAUGAACACUAGAUGCUGGGAGAUUCGACCCUCUCAGUGUCGUAGCUAACGCGUUAAGUGUUCCGCCUGGGGAGUACGAUCGCAAGGUUGAAACUCAAAGGAAUUGACGGGGGCCCGCACAAGCGGUGGAGCAUGUGGUUUAAUUCGAUGCAACGCGAAGAACCUUACCUGGGCUUGAACUGUGCAGGAAAACAUCUGAAAGGAUGUCCUCCUUCGGGACUUGUACAGAGGUGCUGCAUGGCUGUCGUCAGCUCGUGUCGUGAGAUGUUAGGUUAAGUCCUGCAACGAGCGCAACCCCUAUCGUUAGUUGCCAUCAGGUUAUGCUGGGCACUCUAACGAGACUGCCCGCGUUAAGCGGGAGGAAGGUGGGGAUGACGUCAAGUCCUCAUGGCCCUUACGUCCAGGGCUACACACGUGCUACAAUGGGUGGUACAAAGGGUCGCAAUAUCGCAAGGUGGAGCUAAUCCCAAAAAACCAUCCUCAGUUCGGAUUGCACUCUGCAACUCGAGUGCAUGAAGCCGGAAUCGCUAGUAAACGUGGAUCAGCACGCCACGUUGAAUACGUUCCCGGGCCUUGUACACACCGCCCGUCACACCAUGGGAGUCGGGAGUACCCAAAGCCGCCACAUUAACAGUGGUGUCUAAGGUAAGUUCGAUGACUGGGGUGAAGUCGGAACAAGGUA
RNAcentral lists this ribosomal RNA (1487 nucleotides) under metagenome. RNAcentral's name for it is "bacterial SSU rRNA". It matches the Rfam family "Bacterial small subunit ribosomal RNA". The record is from RNAcentral.